AUGGCGUCACUUUCUACUGUGUCUGUGAACAAACCAAGUUGCCGCUUGACAAAAUUGAAAUUUUUUGGCAUAAAAUAUUACCACCGGCUGCACUAAAUAGUCCCAAAGUGUAAAUGAAAGUGCCAGGAAUGAUUUUCAAUUGAAAUUGUGGCAGUCGUGUGCGCCAUUAUCAGUGCAAAUCAUAAACAAAAAACAAAAAGUUGAGCCAAACGAAAAGCGCACUGUGAAAAAAUGCGAAUGUCGUCGUCGUCGCUGUCGCUGUCGUCGCCGCUUUGAGUGUACGUGCGCCGCGUUUUGCACGGCAGCUGCGCUGCUACCACAAAUUAAAGGUGUGAAUUUAAUUUCAAUAAUUCGUGUGUAUUAACAUACAUAAAUUAAUGCAGCAAAGGUAUUGCCUGUCCAGACGACGUUGACAGGAAUGUGCUAAAUUACAUAAAUUUAAGUAAGUAAAUAACUGUGCCCUGUGUUCAAAUUCUGCGAGCGAGUGGGAGCAGCGAAAGAGCAAGAGAUUACGCGCAGUAGCACACACUUACACGCUCAAACAAAAGUACGGGAGAGCGGAAAACAAUCAUUUGUGUCAUAAGGUCAGACGUUCAUAGAGAGAAAAACAACUGUACAACAUGCACGCAUUAGACGACAAAUUGUUGACCGCGUUCUCUCCCAAUGGACAAGUCAACCAGCCAGCCAGAUAGUCGGUACAACAACCAACGAGCCAGUCAGUGCAUGUAUUGCCAAAAAAAAAAUAGAGAAAAAACGUUUAAACUAAAAGAAAAAUCAGGCUAAAACAAACUAGCGCACACACACACACGCUCCUACAUACACACACAUUCGCCCACACAGAGAGCAAGCCGAGCGUGAGAGCGAGCGAGAAUAUGUGAACAGUUUUCAUAAACAGCAAAUUCUCCAAUAGUCUCUCUCUCACACGAAAACGAAUUGAUGUGCCAUUCAGAGCAGCAAGCAACAUAGAAGCUAAGCGAGUAUUACAACAAUCACAAAAACAACAACAACAGCAACCACAAUAAGGCGCAUAUAGUAAAUGCAACAAUCCCUCCAUUAAACAACAACAAGAACAGCAGCAAAACAAAACGAAACAACACACAAAUAAUACACAGUGUAACGAAUUUAAAACAACAAGAACAACACGCAAUUAAUAGGCAACAAGUUGCAAGCAGCAACAAGCUUUGGAAAGAACCUUCUUCGUAGCCAGGCGUAACGCGUGUUAGAUGCCAAGAUAAGUCGCUAUCGCUUUAAUACCGCCAUCAACAUAACCCAACAACUACAGCAACAGCAGCAACAACAACAACAGGAACAGCAACAGCAUAAGGAAGCGCCCAGAAUACCGUUAAGCAGCAACCGUG
Molecule: long non-coding RNA, 1358 nt
Organism: Drosophila montana
Lineage: Eukaryota; Metazoa; Arthropoda; Insecta; Diptera; Drosophilidae
Exons: 4
Source: RefSeq, a predicted model, not a curated record